This 7600-nucleotide long non-coding RNA is filed under the name Sus scrofa (pig). RNAcentral describes it as "lncRNA (ENSSSCG00000056114.1)". Lineage: Eukaryota; Metazoa; Chordata; Mammalia; Artiodactyla; Suidae. The record is from RNAcentral.
UGCAAGUUGCAGGUGACACCUGUUGUGCCAAACAUUCCUGCAGAGCUAACCUGGCAACUAUUUCAGGGAGAGCUCUUUUGUUGAAGUGAAUAGCCCCUUUCAACCUCAUCCUAAGCAGUGAAGUGUAGUCAUGGUUCUAGGCAGAGUAAUUCUCCUCUCUAACAAGAGUAAGCAUCAUAUCCAUCAGUCCUUGGGAUGUCCUUGCAAGGUGACGCUUGACCUGGAUUUUCUGUGAGCCUUCACAGAAUCGCCAAGGCAAGGACAGAUGCUCCAGGUGUCUCUGUACAUCUUCCCUAAACAAGGCUUUGCAGCAAGAAAUCAACAAAACAUAUUUAUUCUUCUGUGCUACAAAGGACCAACCUUGGUUUGCAUGGAGCAUCAUUCCAUAUUUAAAGGGUUUUUCUUUUAGCAACACGUCCCAGAAAGAAGAGGAGACUCCAGGAAUAGGCCGCUUCAUGGAGAAGUAGAAUUUGAGUUAUUUCCUUGUGAAGCACGGUUUCUAGGGAGCUGGCUGCCAGGGUGUGACAACCGGUAGCCACAUGUUAAGGUCACGUUGCAGAAGGCCCUUGCUCAGCAAAGGAGACCUCUGUCAUAUGGUCCUUGGCUUAAGAUUGUAAAGAACAGCUUUCUCUAGUUGAGUUCACUUAACAGCUCAUCAGCGUCUCCUGAGCCUUGAGCACAGCCUAACAUAGAGAGUUCUAGAAUCAUCCGCGUUUGUUUACCAAUCCAGCGGGGUCCUCCGGUGAGCAUUUCUUGAAUAUAAGGGGAUUCUUCUGGAAUGUCUAGACCCCUGAGGCCCUCAUUCCCUAGACCUGUUGAGAAGACAGGUUUAUCUCUUGCUGGUUUGCUAUCAAAACAGAAACAGUGUAUUUCUAUCAAUAAAACACGGCUCUGACAAUUUGUCCCUGGAGAUAAAUGGCCUUUUCCACAGAGGCUCUAAAUACAGGACAUAAUGGGAGUGAGUGGAAGGGAGUUGAAUAAUUAGAUCCUUCUCCAUAAAUCCUGCCUGAAGUCUUUCACACGGGACCAUCACCGCCUUCCGCAGUGUGGACACAGCUGUGUUCUGUGGAGGGGUGAUUGGUAAGUAAAUUGCAUAUGGUUGGGAUCUAGGGAGAAUUCAGCUCUGUGUUUUCCCAGUAGAAUUCAUUUCCUUUGUCAAAGGAACACCCACGUUAAUUUGUUUUUAUUGCUAAAAUAUGGCCACUUAUACGGCUAAUGGGAGCUAUCUCCACCUAUUUGAUUUGAGUUCAGUUUUUUUGGGGGGGGUUAUUAGGGCUGCACCCCUGGCACCCAGACUAGGGGUCUAAUCAGAGCUAUAGCUGCUGGCCUACACCACAGCCACAGCAACUCGGAAUCCAAGUUGCAUCUGCGAUCUACACCAGAGCUCACGACAACGCAGGAUCCUUAACCCACUGAGCAAGGCCAGGGAUGGAACCUGCUUCCUCAUGGAUGGUAGUCAGAUUUGUUUCUGGUCACUUUGAGCGAUGCCUUCUUGACGUGUGCUGGUUGAUGUGCAGGACAGGUUAACACGCUCUCGUCUCUCCCAUGCGUGCAUUUCUCAGUCUUAAUCUAAGACCAGGUAGGAGUUUCUUUAUCUGUGGACUAGUCUACUGGAUUUGGAAUUCCCUCAGAGAAAGGUCAUGUUUUAGUUCAUUUUCUGUCCGGAGCACCUAACAGUUUACGGCACCUAAUGAGGCAAAGAGUGUGUUUUUUUUAAGUGCCAUUUUCUUUCACCGUAAAGAGAAGCUCCCUUGAGCCUUGAAUGUAUACUUGGCUUUUGUAUAAUCAGGCCCCCCAAGAUGGCUCUUCUCUUGCUCUCUGUGUAUCCCUGCUGGACCAAGCCUGCUUCACCUCCACUCACCUCCACCUACUCACUAUUCAUGACCUUCCCACAUACUUGACUUCGCCCCAGCUAUUGGUCAUUCUAACCUUUAGAUCGGAGCAUCUCCACCUGUUAGCUCAUCAAAGGGGCUGUGAGGGGCGUGUCCCUCGCUAGUUUCCUGGUAACCGACAAGCCCACCUGAUGUCAAUUCCCCCAUAACUGGGACUCUUCCCUUCCUCCCGGGAGCGAAGCCUGCCGCCACGUCCUGCCACCCCGUCCUGCCUGGUGUUUGCUGCCCACGGAGAUGUCGCUCCAGGACCUGGCUUCAGAUAUGUAAGUGUCCCCCAUCCACUGAUGUCUCUGUUGCUGACUCCGGGCUCUUUCUUUGGCCUUGAAGCUGGGCAAGCACAGGCCUUGCAGGCUUUUGGGGGCAGCCUGACAAUUGGCUGAGCAGCCGAGAGUCCAAGGAAACUCCCGUGAGCGCCGAGAUGUCGGGAAACAAGGAUGGGGAAUGGAAAGUGGCUUGGCCAUCUACUGGCAUGGCCAUCUACUGGCAUGUGGGACCCAGAAUUUCCAGGGGUACCUCUGAAAGCUGUGGGAGAAAUUCUGGGGUCGCCAUCUGCUAGCCUGUGCGCCCUGCAGUGGUUGUCUUUGAAUGGGGGCAGCUGAGAGAGUGUGGGAAACUCAUUGACACCCCUGAGGGUGGCAGAGAUGUUGGCCGUCAUGACGGGGGAAAAAAAGAAGCUAGAUGAUAAGGCAGUGGCCCCAGCUGGGGGCUGGCUAUAGCUGGCCUCACUGUGAAGUGAGUCAGCAAAAGUGAGCUGCUCUUUGCUGUUCUCUGGGCGUCUCUGAAAAAUUGAGGCAGUUAAUGUGAUUUUGUGGGGGCGAUUGACCAUGGGGGGGAACAGACUCACCAUCUUGCUGUUCCACUUGCCCAUACAUCAGAAGGACCCCUGUUGGUGAACGAUACUGUGCAACUGACAGUCCAGGAGCCCCCCUGCGCUGCGCUGUGUGGAGUGAAACAGGCUGGCUUUGGGACACACAGGUCCAGCUGUGUUUUGUUUGGAAAGAACCAGUGGGUCCACCCUUAGUGGUGCCCAGCAUAACAUGGGGUAACAGAUCUGCACUGUGACUGCUGACUCCUGGCUAGCCCACCAGAAUGUUUGUUUUAGAGCUGGGCUGUCCCCUUCCCAUGGGGGUGGCUCUGGCUUUGUGAAAACCAAGACUGGCCUUGCCUUAUAACUGGCUGGGAUGCUGCCACCAUUGACAGCCUCUCCAUUGACUCUCUAUGUGCUUGACUCCAAAAUUUGUUCCUAUCCUGGCCAGUGGCAGUUGUUAGCAUCCUAGGUAGCUUAUUCUUGAUACUCUGUAGCUGCUGGCAUCUGUACUGUAUUUGGUUGCAGUGCCCCUCUGCAUGCUUGACCCCAGGGAUAUUGCAUAAGGAGGUGGACUGAGCUUCUAAGGGUCAUGCAGGGUAUGUGGGGUGGAGUGUGUGAUCAGCAUCCCCUGCCCCGAGAUGGCUGUUCUCUGGCUCUCUGUACAUCCCCUGUCUCUGUCGCUGACUCCAGGCUCUUUCUUUGGUCUUAAAGCUGGGGGAGUGCCUGCAGGUUGCAGCCCGACAGCUUUCCUCUGAAAUUAGCUUGGACCAUCUCAUGGUUCUACUCUGAAUGUGUUUCUGGCUGCUACGAUCUUCUAAAAAAUAUUGGCGAGUUGGCCUGUAAGAGAAACAGUGAACAUGGGAAACUGCAAAGAAUGGUGAAAAUGAGGCCAGACGGGAGCAGUGAGGAAAGGGUGGGACCAUGUCUCCACAGCUGUUUUUCAUGAGUGGGGUUGACCCAAGGAUGGUCCAUCAUGCCGAACUGUCCAAACGCAAAGUCAACUCAAGGAAAAGUAGAUGUUGGAAAGGGCAGGUGUGUAGGGAUCUGGCCAAUCCCUAGUUUAUCCCCAAGACUUCUGAAUUCAAGAGCAUGUUGCAUUAAGAGAAGGCUGCUUAAUCACUCUGAGUGUGAAGGGCUAACUCGUUGACAUCACUGAAAUUUCAUGAACGUGUGAGGAGUUCUUCCUUUUUCUCUUCUGAUUUCAUGUGUUGACAAUGCCGCCGCAUCAGCUUGGUUUGGGUGCCAUGUGUGACAAGUAAUCAAGAGGUGGACACAGCUUGUCUUCAGCGUCUGGUCGUGUUCAUUUACUGCGUGCUUCCCCUGACUCAGCAGGGGCCACCUGCUUACAUACUUGUUUUACUUGGGUGUCCCAAUCUUCUCUGCUGGGACACGGUCAUGCCCUAAGGAACAGCAUUGAUGGGUUCCAGGCAUGUGCUGUGGAUUCAAGCAGACAUGAGCCUCUCCUUGGCUGAUGAUUUACUGUCUCGCCUUGAGCAGUUACAUAAUCUUUCAGAACCUCCGUGCCUUCAUCUGUAAAAUGGGCACACAGAAAUUAAAUCUCAGCGCUCUUAGGAAAAUGAAAUGAAACAAUUCAUAAACCUUUUUUCUCAGUCUAGUAGUUGGUAUGUUGUACAGUCUCGAUGUAUUUGGACUCUCUUAUUAUUAUGACUGAUUGUUAUGAUUAUUGCUAUUGACGGUAACCAGCAAAAUGAACCUUUCAUAGGGAAUGGUUAAACAUUUCCUGUUUGGAUUCCUUGGGUUUAAUCCAUAGAUGUAUUUGCUUAUGAGGGCCAGUCUUCGAGAAGGGAAUAUCUGUCUUAUUCUCAGGGUCUGCCAAAGCAAAUCUCCAAUAAAUAGGGGUUAAAAUAAUAAAUGAGAGCAUAGUGCUUCUCUUCCUAUUGGUGCUGCUCAAUUCAUCCUCCAGAUAGCUACCUAAUUCACUUGUGAGCAGCCUGUCCAGAAAUUUUUUCCUGCAAGAAGAAGGUUGGGAUAAAAGAUACAGCAAAUCAAUUAUUUUCCUUUCUCCCAGUCUCCUCAUAAACCAGCCUCUCCCAGUUUCUCUUCUAGCUAUUCUGUUUUCUAUUACAUAGAAUGCUUAGGUGAUGUGCCAAUAAGUAAUGUAUGAAUACUUAAUGAAGGUGGCAUGAAUUAUAAAUGGCAUGGAAUUUAUCUACAUAGUUUCCUUGCUGAUGGCAGAAUGGUGCUUUAUCUUCUAUCAAGUCAUAGGAGUCAGGAGGUGAGAAAAGUAGCCAGGUUGAUAAAUUUAAAAAUUGUUACCGGAUGGAUGGCAUCUUAAGUUACAUGGAACCCAAUACUAUGUGGCAGAGGAGAAAAGGCUUGACCAGGAAAUGGGGUGAAUAUGAUGCUGGCAGGAGAGAGAUGGAGGUGGUCCCUAAGGGCACAAUUACUGCUGGAGUAGAGAACUCAGAAUAGAGACAGGCAUAGGCUUGGGUGGGAAUGGCAGUUACCACUUAACUGUGAUUGAGCACCGGUGAGAGAGAGGUCUGAAAGGGGUCCCUAGCCCUCUGAUUCAAGAGGAAGCUGUUAAAUGAUGCUAUCUAGAGAAGGGAUUUCUAUACCAUUCCUCCACCCCAGAGCCAUCUGUCAACAGCUAGCUCCAUACCUACAGUGAGCACAUACUAAGAAAAGUAAUAACCCCCCACAUCUCAAAGGCUUGAUGCAAAGUGUUGCCCUGGCUCACACAGCAGGUACUUCUCCUGGGUCGUUCUCCUCCAAGUAUUGAUUUGGGGGCCCAGGUUCUUUCCACCUUGUGGCUCUGCCGUCUUUAUUAUGUAGAUCCCGAGUGCACUCAGGAGGUCGUCUCCAUGUCAGCCAACCAGAGGAGGCACUAGCCUGGGAGGAUUUUAUGGAUCAGUCCUGGAAGUGGAGAAUUUCAGCUCUGUUCACAUCCAUUUGUCCAGAACUCCGCUGUAUGACUUGCUCCCUCCAAGGAAAGCUGAGAAAUGUAGCCAGGCUGCCAGGUCUAAGCAGUAGCACAUGGGAUGAUCGGCGAGCAGGGUCCGCCCCACAGCUCGAAUUUCCAAAAACAUAGACUCCUAGAAAAGAGUAGUAUAAAUACUGUGGCGGAAAUGUCAUCUUAUAAAGUGUUUACAAACUCUUUGGGCUUUUUUUUUUUUUUAAGCUUCUCUCUUAGACUAUGGUGUUUGCAUGCAAACAGUAGAAAUUCCAGUUAUAAAUGGUUUAAAUUUGUGGGAGGUUACUUGGUAAUAGUUCAUCCGUUGUAAUCAUAGAGCCUUCUCUUUGAAUUGCAUAUAAAAUUAAGCCAUAAAUGUAACAUGGGUAUCAUUAUUGAAAAUGUAGACACUAGAGCAAUGGAUAAGAAAGAAAUGUAGAGUCCCCUCGAUCCCCUGUGAUCAUAGUUUCUUUAAUUUCCAUCUUGUCUUUUUCCUUCACGUACAUUUUUCUGCUCUCUCAGGGGUCAUACAUUUUUCUGAAAAAGGCCAGAUAGUGAACGUUUUAGGCUUAACAGGCUGUGUCUGUCGCAGCCCAAAAGCAGCCAUAGGCCCCAUGGAAACAAGGAAAUGUGGCUGUGUUCCGAUAAACCUUUAUUUACAAAAACAGGAGGGGAGCUUGAUUUGCCCUGAGGGCCGGGGUGCCAACCCCUAUAGCAUAUGAUGGAUCCUGAGAAACGUAUGCAAAGCACUUGAAAGGCCCGCAUGACUGCAGCGCUCGGUAAAUCCUUCUUCCUUGCUCUCCUUAGCUUGCAGUGAAUACAGUUAUAUGACUUCCAAACACUGAAAACGCAAUGGAUUCAAGUCUAGGAAAGCACAGACCUUAGCCAUUGAAAGAAGUCUAUAAGCAUGUGGGUUUGGGAAGGAGGGUAUUUUUACUUAUUUCCUCCCCUGUUGCUUGGAUUAUUAUUAUUUUUUUCUAAUGAGCAUAUUUUACUAUUGUAAUUUUUUUUUAAUUAUUUGAAACGUGUAUUUCCACCUUCUUGCUGACUCAGAGGAGAAUGUUGCAUUUUAAUCCUGAACGUGUGACUUACUUGCAUUUUUCAAUAACCAGCUGCAGUUAGAUUUCAGAAGCGGAGCCUGAACCGCAAGAUCCCAUCGGAAAGAGUUGAGACAGAGCCUGAAACGCUUGGAGGAAGGCAGGAUCUCCACUUCCUCUUGGGACAGAUUAGCUGACAGGGACACUGAGAAAGGGGAAGAGGAGUGGUCUUUGGAGGCGCUCCCUCUGGUCCCUUUGCACAGGGAGCUGUCACCCGUUUCGGGUCCUUGAGGGAGCCCUGUGCUGGUACACAGCAGGCACUUAGCAGUGCUUCUCUCCACCAAUUCCCUAACCUUUAUCCCCAGUAACCAGCACGGUCCCUGGUGUGUAUUCGCUCUGGUUAAACAAACACAGCCUGCGUGUCUUUGGCUGAAUGCAGCACAUCCUUCAUCUCCAUCUUUGGAUGAAGGUAGCGGGUAGCAUCUCUUUACAGGCCAGGUGGCUUUAUUCCUACCUGAGUCGUGCGGAUGCCGCUUGCCCUGCCAGAAUUACAACCCAGAGAUACAUUUCCUGAGACUUCAGGACUGUGGCUCUGAGAGGUGAGAUUACCUGUGUCGGGUGAUCCGAUUAACCUAAAUUAACCCGAGACAACAUCCUGGGAACAUGAGCAUGAAGAAAAGGAGAUAGCACUGUCUCUUGCUGGCUGGUGAGAAACAGAGUUUUUCAUCAAGCUCUCCCCAUGUGUGAUGCGCCGCUUGGUACCUUUCCAAAAUCGGGAAAUGUGAAAACUUUGAAUGCGUCUGCAUAUUUUUCUCCCCCAUGAUUUCAGUUUUCAUCAGCUCCUGGUUUCUCUCUUAAUUUCUCCAUGGACCACAGUUCUGAUUACUCUCCAUCUACCUGGAUGUCUGUCAAAUAUCACACGUGGUUUGUAAAGUAGGACUAAAUGGCC